RNAcentral lists this long non-coding RNA (237 nucleotides) under Vigna radiata. RNAcentral's name for it is "long non-coding RNA (VRAD_LNC016090)". Lineage: Eukaryota; Viridiplantae; Streptophyta; Magnoliopsida; Fabales; Fabaceae. The record is from RNAcentral.
UCGCAUUAAUUAUAACUAUCCCAUUAACUAAUAUUUCAAUGUUUAUUAUUAUCAUAUGAAAAACUAUAUAAAUGAGGAAAAACAAAUAUAUAUAAACAUGGGAAUCAAAUUGAAAUUGUACUUUACACUGUUAUAUUUCAGCUUUAUCAACUUUGUAUUAUAUGUGUGAUUAUCAUUUAACCAGCAUCAUACUGUGGUAUGCAAAAACAUGUAUAUCCAACCUAUUAGGUCUCUCUU